This 1404-nucleotide unclassified non-coding RNA is filed under the name Patiria miniata (bat star). RNAcentral's name for it is "uncharacterized LOC119733324, transcript variant X3". The record is from RNAcentral. Lineage: Eukaryota; Metazoa; Echinodermata; Asteroidea; Valvatida; Asterinidae.
GUUAAGAUUGAUCUUGAGAGAAUGUUGGCUGAAAGACAAUGAGGAGUCAAGAAGAUGACGGCCGGUAAACGUCUCAAGUCAACUCACUCCAUCUCUUGGAGCCUUGCUUCAUAAAAUUUGACCAACCACCUUGCCCAGACCGGUCACCGUGGCAACUGAACAGCCUCAGGCCCCGCCUCCAGCAGCCAUUGGUCAAGAUCGUCGCUUACCAAUUCCAAUCAGCAAUGAGCGUAGUUGAGGGCAACGCAAGACACCUGUCAGCUUUGUUGUUGUACCUGUCAGUGAUCUGGGUUACCCUGUUGGUUCACCAGGGAGUAGCAUCUGGGCUUAUACACCAGGGAGCAGCGGUGACUGGAUCCCAAGUAGCAACUUAGAGGACAUACCAGGCACAGCAGCUAACAGGAUGCCUAACUUCCCCCAUCAAGACACUGUCAAGAGAGGAUGGCUUCCAAAUGAACAAACACCUGUCAGCCGGUUUGGUGAGCAACAUGAGCCAGUGUCUGGCAUGCAUCAUAACAUGGCCAUGGGAGAUGGGGGAGGGGUGACAGCUCAUGGAAUGGCAGGAGCGGUCUGGAACCCUGUAGCCACCAUGCAACUUCAUGGCACCAAUCCAAAGGUGUGGGGAGCAUCAAGGAGCCAGUCAGUCAUGUGACAUGAGAACACCUCUCUGUCCAUUCCUAUAGAGGGCGCUGUUCGUCAUAGCCGCAGCAUCCACAAGCGAUAUUUAAGUUAAAUAAUUUUUCUUCAAUGGCCAGUAGAGGGCGCCAUAAUACUAUCUGGUUUGUUCACAGACAUAUAAACACAUAGACUGCCAGUAGUGCGCAUGAAACCGUGAUUUAAUAAUUGGGCAAAAUGUUUGUUGACAGCGCGCAUAACUGCGAUGCCACUCAAUGCGCCAACGUGCUUUGUACAGUACAUACAUUUAAAUUCAGUUCAUAAAUUAUUUUGGUAAAGGCUGUAUUACUCAAACUUUGCAAGAAAAUGUUUGGUACCGUAUUGUUUUUAUUCUACGGAAAUCAUAUUUAGUUCACUAGGGAUUGGUUUACAAUCAAAAACUAACUUCACAAUUUUUUUUUUUUUUGCAUGUUUGACUGGAAUUCGUCAACUGUGUGUAAAAUCCUAUACCGAGAGGUGAAUUUGCCCAUAGUUUUGAUUUUAGUCGGGCGCUAGGCAAAUCAUAAAAUGCUCAUGUAGUUUUGAAUAGGACCUGGCGGUCUAUGCAUUUAUAUGUCUGUGGGUUUGUUGCCUUACCUGCCAAAAAAUUGCUGACGGCAUAAUUCAGAGAAAAGAAUGAAAACGAAAUAAUUAGGCCUUGGAAUAAAAAAAAUUGUAUCAAUUCUGUGAAAUUUAAGAUUAUUGUAAACUGGGAGUAGUUUGUAUUUAACUUUAUUUAUGUUAGGCCAA